CCUACGGGAGGCAGCAGUGGGGAAUAUUGCACAAUGGGGGAAACCCUGAUGCAGCGACGCCGCGUGAAGGAAGAAGUAUCUCGGUAUGUAAACUUCUAUCAGCAGGGAAGAAAAUGACGGUACCUGACUAAGAAGCCACGGCUAACUACGUGCCAGCAGCCGCGGUAAUACGUAGGGGGCCAGCGUUAUCCGGAUUUACUGGGUGUAAAGGGAGCGUAGGCGGGGAUGCAAGUCAGAAGUGAAAGCCCGGGGCUCAACUCCGGGACUGCUUUUGAAACUGUGUUGCUAGAUUGCAGGAGAGGUAGGUGGAAUUCGUGGUGUAGCGAUGAAAUGCGUAGAUAUUACGAGGAACACCGAUGGCGAAGGCAGCUUACUGGACUGUAAAUGACGCUGAGGCUCGAAAGCGUGGGGAGCAAACAGGAUUAGAUACCCUAGUAGUC
RNAcentral lists this ribosomal RNA (440 nucleotides) under uncultured bacterium. RNAcentral describes it as "partial 16S ribosomal RNA". It matches the Rfam family "Bacterial small subunit ribosomal RNA", at positions 338 to 795 of the family's 1533-position model. The record is from RNAcentral.